GCUGGUGCUUUAAAAUAGAUUACAGGUUUUCCUGGGCGGUAAUAACGCGGUUGCAAGGCGUAAUUGCCGUUUACAUA
RNAcentral lists this small RNA (77 nucleotides) under Candidatus Hungatella pullicola. RNAcentral describes it as "COG2827 RNA". It matches the Rfam family "COG2827 RNA". From Rfam's summary of the family: Clostridiales. Nearby to self-splicing intron genes Lineage: Bacteria; Bacillati; Bacillota; Clostridia; Lachnospirales; Lachnospiraceae. The record is from RNAcentral.